This 258-nucleotide ribosomal RNA is filed under the name uncultured soil bacterium. RNAcentral's name for it is "partial 16S ribosomal RNA". It matches the Rfam family "Bacterial small subunit ribosomal RNA", at positions 26 to 285 of the family's 1533-position model. The record is from RNAcentral.
AGGACGAACGCUGGCGGCGUGCUUAACACAUGCAAGUCGAGCGGUAAGGCUCCUUCGGGAGUACACGAGCGGCGAACGGGUGAGUAACACGUGAGUAAUCUGCCCUUCACUUCGGGAUAACCACCGGAAACGGUGGCUAAUACCGAAUACGACCAGCCUUCGCAUGAGGUGCUGGUGGAAAGUCUUUUCGGUGAAGGAUGUGCUCGCGGCCUAUCAGCUUGUUGGUGGGGUAAUGGCCUACCAAGGCUUCGACGGGUA